This 1838-nucleotide long non-coding RNA is filed under the name Podarcis lilfordi (Lilford's wall lizard). The record is from RNAcentral. Lineage: Eukaryota; Metazoa; Chordata; Lepidosauria; Squamata; Lacertidae.
AGCAGGGGUCUGGAGUGGAAGAGGAAAGGGGAAGGGGCUAGGAUGGAGAACAAGAGGGUGUGAAGGUGGGACUGAAGUGGAAAGAUAAGGAAGGUGGAGACAGUGGGGAAGAGCAAAAUGAGAGAAGAGAAAUGACAGAAACCCCUUACAGGCAGAGAGAUGGAAGAGAAAACCUUUCUAUCAGGAGUAGGUAUCAGAGGUACAAACAAAUAUGAAAUGGAGGGGAGAGUGAAAGAAUGAAAGGAAAUUCAGAGAGGCACUAAGAGGUCCCAUCAAGGCUCUUCGGAUGGCUUAUCUUCACCCGUUAGAAAUACAGCCAUAUUGCCAAUGCCUGGGGUGAGUGAAAGAGGGCAGUACACCAACAGUCUCUGUGAAACACUUGAGAGCUUCUGCCAGUCAAUGUAGUCAACACUGAGGUAGAUUUAUCCACAGUGUGACUGGGUUUCAGGCAGCUUCCUCCAUUCCUAGGAGUUUCCCACCACACACACACCAAUUAUGACCUCAAACCCAACUUACAUGACCCAGCCAAUGAUAGACAAGGCUUACAUGUAACUCCAUAAAUGGCAACUGACUAUGAUGCAGCUUCCAUGGGCUGCACUCUCAAACACCUUAUCACACUGUGAGGGGCCGGGCCUUGGUCCAGAGACCAUUGAGGGAAGGAGGAAGAGGAAGAAUGUGAGGGAGGCUACUCCUCAGAUGCCUUGCCUGGCGUGGCCCUUGGUGAGGGGGAGAAGCGAGGUCCGCUCAGCUGGCCAGCUAGCCAGCAGCUCACCUAAUGGACAAACUGAUGGAAGGACUGCUCACUUGCUCCCUCUUUUUUUAAAAAAAUGCUAUGUUAUUGAAAAAUUUUCAAAUACAAAGCUGUAAAGUGAUACAAAAAAAGAACAAAACACACAAUUUUGUAAAGGGGGAAGGAAACAUUAUACGAAUAUAUACAAAAAUACCCUAACCCAUACAUCCUUUUAUAAAUUUGAUAUUAUUAUCCUAAUACUAAUGUAAAUAUUAAUAGCCUACUAUAUUUUGCAUAAAUUCAUUCCAAAUAUUGUCGUAUUUAUCCAAGCAGAGUCUAUAUCUUUAAGCAGUCCAUUCAUAGGUUGCAGGUGUUAUCAUAUCAAUCCACUGAUUAAAGGAGAUGUCUUUAUUCUUCCAGUUCAUCAAUAUCAGCCUCUUGGCUACGAUUAGAGCACGUGAAGACCAUUUUUGUUGUCUAGUUGGUAACUUCCAUAUAGUAGGUAUUUAGCUCAGAAGAAUAUUUUCUGUUGAAAAUAUUAAGGUUUUCUUUCCUGAACAGUCAUAUUUAUACAAUCCAGCACUUUCUUCCUAAAUUUAGUAUAAACAUAUGUUUCAGGGAUGCACCGGCUCUCUCAGGCCUUGGCCUCACCUGCCUCCCUUGGUGACAGACAAACGGACAGAUGUGUGUGUAUAAGCACACAUGGCUGCCAGAAACAACAGCGCUGCAACCACCACUUCCUUUUGUAACCGUGCUGCCAUUCGGCCAGUUCCCUCACACGCAACGCCCCCCUCCAAACCUGGACAUUUUACAAUAUUUUAAAAAUCCGCCCACAGUGAUUUCAUCCCUGAAAAAGAGGUCAUGUCUGGGAAAAUCCAGAUGUAUGGCAACCCAAGAGUGCUGUGUAUUUUUCCAUGUACAUUUUUAAAAACCUUACAGCGUCAUUCAGCUUUUCCAAUUCUUGUCUGUGUCCUCUUUUAAGGCUUCCAAUAUGAGGCUAGCUAGAAUUGGCUGAGGGAGCUGAGCAUGUUUAGUCUUGAGAAGAAGAGAAUGAGAGGUGGCACGGUAGUCAUCUUUAAACAUCGGAAGGGAUCUGACAUGGAAGAGA